RNAcentral lists this ribosomal RNA (253 nucleotides) under uncultured bacterium. Its description in RNAcentral is "partial 16S ribosomal RNA". It matches the Rfam family "Bacterial small subunit ribosomal RNA", at positions 524 to 776 of the family's 1533-position model. The record is from RNAcentral.
UACGUAGGGUGCAAGCGUUAAUCGGAAUUACUGGGCGUAAAGCGUGCGCAGGCGGUUUUGCAAGACCGAUGUGAAAUCCCCGGGCUGAACCUGGGAAUGGCAUUGGUGACUGCACGGCUAGAGUGUGUCAGAGGGGGGUAGAUUUCCACGUGUAGCAGUGAAAUGCGUAGAGAUGUGGAGGAAUACCGAUGGCGAAGGCAGCCCCCUGGGAUAACACUGACGCUCAUGCACGAAAGCGUGGGGAGCAAACAGG